Molecule: small nuclear RNA, 188 nt
Filed under: Rhipicephalus microplus (southern cattle tick)
Lineage: Eukaryota; Metazoa; Arthropoda; Arachnida; Ixodida; Ixodidae
Description: U2 spliceosomal RNA
Rfam family: U2 spliceosomal RNA
About the family: U2 is a small nuclear RNA (snRNA) component of the spliceosome (involved in pre-mRNA splicing). Complementary binding between U2 snRNA (in an area lying towards the 5' end but 3' to hairpin I) and the branchpoint sequence (BPS) of the intron results the bulging out of an unpaired adenosine, on the BPS, which initiates a nucleophilic attack at the intronic 5' splice site, thus starting the first of two transesterification reactions that mediate splicing.
Source: Rfam by way of RNAcentral
AUUCCCUCAAUGUGUUGCCUCUUUUGAUAACCACUCUCUGUUCUUAUUAGCCUAUUAUGUGAUAUGGAUUCUAUUUGUAUCCAAGAUAAUAAACUUAUUUUUGCAAUGCGGAGCAAAGCUUGAAGCUUGCUUCAACUCCGCCGCGGGUUGGCCCGUAUUGCACUAUGUCCGGGAUUGGCCCACUCUUC